Molecule: ribosomal RNA, 497 nt
Filed under: uncultured bacterium
Lineage: Bacteria
Description: partial 16S ribosomal RNA
Rfam family: Bacterial small subunit ribosomal RNA
Source: RNAcentral
GAUGAACGCUGGCGGCGUGCCUAAUACAUGCAAGUCGAGCGAACGGACGAGAAGCUUGCUUCUCUGAUGUUAGCGGCGGACGGGUGAGUAACACGUGGAUAACCUACCUAUAAGACUGGGAUAACUUCGGGAAACCGGAGCUAAUACCGGACAAUAUUUUGAACCGCAUGGUUCAAAAGUGAAAGACGGUCUUGCUGUCACUUAUAGAUGGAUCCGCGCUGCAUUAGCUAGUUGGUAAGGUAACGGCUUACCAAGGCAACGAUGCAUAGCCGACCUGAGAGGGUGAUCGGCCACACGGGAACUGAGACACGGUCCAGACUCCUACGGGAGGCAGCAGUAGGGAAUCUUCCGCAAUGGGCGAAAGCCUGACGGAGCAACGCCGCGUGAGUGAUGAAGGUCUUCGGAUCGUAAAACUCUGUUAGUAGGGAAGAACAUAUGUGUAAGUAACUGUGCACAUCUUGACGGUACCUAAUCAGAAAGCCACGGCUAACUACGUG